Molecule: ribosomal RNA, 402 nt
Filed under: bacterium
Lineage: Bacteria
Description: partial 16S ribosomal RNA
Rfam family: Bacterial small subunit ribosomal RNA
Source: RNAcentral
UGGGGAAUUUUGCACAAUGGGGGAAACCCUGAUGCAGCGACGCCGCGUGAUUUAGAAGGCCUUCGGGUUGUAAAAAUCUUUUCUAUGGGAAGAAAAUGACAGUACCAUAGGAAUAAGGACCGGCUAAUUACGUGCCAGCAGCCGCGGUAAUACGUAAGGUCCGAGCGUUGUCCGGAAUCCUUGGGCGUAAAGGGUACGUAGGCGGGUAAGCAAGUUAGAAGUGAAAUCCUAUAGCUCAACUAUAGUAAGCUUUUAAAACUGCUCAUCUUGAGGUAUGGAAGGGAAAGUGGAAUUCCUAGUGUAGCGGUGAAAUGCGCAGAUAUUAGGAGGAAUACCGGUGGCGAAGGCGACUUUCUGGCCAUAGCCUGACGCUGAGGUACGAAAGCGUGGGUAGCAAACAGG